This 957-nucleotide non-coding RNA is filed under the name Osteobrama belangeri (pengba). RNAcentral's name for it is "12S ribosomal RNA". It matches the Rfam family "Bacterial small subunit ribosomal RNA". Lineage: Eukaryota; Metazoa; Chordata; Actinopteri; Cypriniformes; Cyprinidae. The record is from RNAcentral.
CAAAGGCAUGGUCCAGACCUUAAUAUCAGCUCUAGCUUAACUUACACAUGCAAGUCUCCGCGGCCCAGUGAAUUUUGCCCUCAUCCCCCGCCCGGGGAUGAGGAGCAGGUAUCAGGCACAAACAUUAUCAGCCCAAGACGCCGAGCCUGGCCACACCCCCAAGGGUAUUCAGCAGUGAUAAACAUUAAGCCAUAAGUGAAAACUUGACUAAGUCAGAGCUAAGAGGGCCGGUAAAACUCGUGCCAGCCACCGCGGUUAAACGAGAGGCCCUAGUUGAUACUACAGCGGCGUAAAGGGUGGUUAAGGAUAAAAAAUAAUAAAGCCAAAUGGCCCUUCGGCAGUUAUACGCUUUCUAGGCGUCUGAAGCCCCACUUAUACGAAAGUAGCUUUAACAAAAUAACCUGACCCCACGAAAGCUGAGAAACAAACUGGGAUUAGAUACCCCACUAUGCUCAGCCGUAAACUUAGACAUUAAUUUACAAUAAAAUGUCCGCCAGGGUAUUACGAGCAUUAGCUUAAAACCCAAAGGACCUGACGGUGUCUCAGAUCCACCUAGAGGAGCCUGUUCUAUAACUGAUAACCCCCGUUCAACCUCACCACUUUUAGCCAUCCCAGUCUAUAUACCGCCGUCGUAAGCUUACCCUGUGAGGGUUAAAAAGUAAGCAAAAUGAGUAUAACCCAAAACGUCAGGUCGAGGUGCAGCGCAUGAAAUGGGAAGAAAUGGGCUACAUUUUCUAUACAGAAUAUUACGAACGUGCACCAUGAAACAGUGCUUGAAGGAGGAUUUAGAAGUAAAAAGGAAACAGAGUGUCCUUUUGAACCAGGCUCUGAGACGCGUACACACCGCCCGUCAUUCUCCCUAUCUACAGUGUAAAUUAAUACUUAAUACCUUAACACAGAUAAAGGGAGGCAAGUCGUAACAAGGUAAGUGUACCGGAAGGUGCACUUGGAUAAACC